AAUCUUGCGCAAUGGUCGAAAGCCUGACGCAGCCAUGCCGCGUGAAUGAUGAAGGUCUUAUGUUUGAAAAAUUCUUUCACCGGGGACGAUAAUGACGGUACCCGGAGAAGAAGCCCCGGCUAACUUCGUGCCUUUAGCCGCGGUAAUACGAAGGGGGCUAGCGUUGCUCGGAAUUACUGGGCGUAAAGGGCGCGUAGGCGGAUCGUUAAGUCAGAGGUGAAAUCCCAGGGCUCAACCCUGGAACUGCCUUUGAUACUGGCGAUCUUGAGUAUGAGAGAGGUAUGUGGAACUCCGAGUGUAGAGGUGAAAUUCGUAGAUAUUCGGAAGAACACCAGUGGUGAAGGCGACAUACUGGCUCAUUACUGACGCUGAGGCGCGAAAGCGUGGGGAGCAAACAG
This 398-nucleotide ribosomal RNA is filed under the name uncultured bacterium. RNAcentral's name for it is "partial 16S ribosomal RNA". It matches the Rfam family "Bacterial small subunit ribosomal RNA", at positions 360 to 775 of the family's 1533-position model. The record is from RNAcentral.